This 1498-nucleotide ribosomal RNA is filed under the name metagenome. RNAcentral describes it as "bacterial SSU rRNA". It matches the Rfam family "Bacterial small subunit ribosomal RNA". The record is from RNAcentral.
AGAGUUUGAUCCUGGCUCAGGAUGAACGCUAGCUACAGGCUUAACACAUGCAAGUCGAGGGGAAACGAUAUUGGAAGCUUGCUUCCGAUAGGCGUCGACCGGCGCACGGGUGAGUAACGCGUAUCCAACCUGCCCAUCACUUGGGAAUAACCUUGCGAAAGUAAGACUAAUGCCCAAUGACAUUUAUAGAAGGCAUCGGAAAUGAAUUAAAGAUUUAUCGGUGAUGGAUGGGGAUGCGUCUGAUUAGCUUGUUGGCGGGGUAACGGCCCACCAAGGCGACGAUCAGUAGGGGUUCUGAGAGGAAGGUCCCCCACAUUGGAACUGAGACACGGUCCAAACUCCUACGGGAGGCAGCAGUGAGGAAUAUUGGUCAAUGGGCGAGAGCCUGAACCAGCCAAGUAGCGUGCAGGAUGACGGCCCUAUGGGUUGUAAGCUGCUUUUAUAGGGGAAUAAAGUGAGCCACGUGUGGUUUUUUGCAUGUACCCUAUGAAUAAGGACCGGCUAAUUCCGUGCCAGCAGCCGCGGUAAUACGGAAGGUCCGGGCGUUAUCCGGAUUUAUUGGGUUUAAAGGGAGCGUAGGCCGGAGAUUAAGCGUGUUGUGAAAUGUAGAUGCUCAACAUCUGCACUGCAGCGCGAACUGGUUUCCUUGAGUACGCAUAAAGUGGGCGGAAUUCGUGGUGUAGCGGUGAAAUGCUUAGAUAUCACGAAGAACUCCGAUUGCGAAGGCAGCUCACUGGGGCGCAACUGACGCUGAAGCUCGAAAGCGCGGGUAUCGAACAGGAUUAGAUACCCUGGUAGUCCGCGCGGUAAACGAUGGAUGCCCGCUGUUGGGCCAACUGGUUCAGCGGCCAAGCGAAAGCAUUAAGCAUCCCACCUGGGGAGUACGCCGGCAACGGUGAAACUCAAAGGAAUUGACGGGGGCCCGCACAAGCGGAGGAACAUGUGGUUUAAUUCGAUGAUACGCGAGGAACCUUACCCGGGCUUGAAUUGCAGAGGAAGGAUUUGGAGACAAUGACGCCCUUCGGGGCCUCUGUGAAGGUGCUGCAUGGUUGUCGUCAGCUCGUGUCGUGAGAUGUUGGGUUAAGUCCCGCAACGAGCGCAACCCUUAUCUUUAGUAGCCAGCGGUUCGGCCGGGCACUCUAGAGAGACUGCCAGGGAUAACCUGGAGGAAGGCGGGGAUGACGUCAAAUCAUCAUGCCCCUUAUGACUUGGGCUACACACGUGCUACAAUGGCGUAAACAAAGGGAAGCAAAGCUGUGAAGCCGAGCAAAUCUCAAAAAUAACGUCUCAGUUCGGACUGUAGUCUGCAACCCGACUACACGAAGCUGGAAUCGCUAGUAAUCGCAGAUCAGAAUGCUGCGGUGAAUACGUUCCCGGGUCUUGUACACACCGCCCGUCACACCAUGGGAGUUGGGAAUGCCCGAAGCCAGUGACCUAACCGAAAGGAAGGAGCUGUCGAAGGCAGGCUCGAUAACUGGGGUGAAGUCGUAACAAGGUA